UGAGACGACAUCUGACGCCGUUGUAAAGGCCUCGGCUUAACUCAAUUGCAGACUCUGAUAUAAUUUCCUCUAGUUCGUCGUUGAAUUGUUUUGAAGCGCAAACAUUCUGCGAGUAUGACCGCCAUUCAUCUGCUGCAAUUUUAAAGCUAUCCUGUAACUCUGCAGCUCCAUGGAUUGUGAACGAAAGGGUGUUCUUGGUCCGAAGCAAUAAUUCUACAAGCCCUAGUCGCAUGUUCGAGCUCCGCGGUCUCCAGAACUUAUGCUCCGGGAAACGGACAGAAAUGUUAAGACACUUGAUGGCGCGAGAUCCGAAUCUCCGGAUUAGAUGGCACAGAUGGUUAUAGCGACCCUCAUUGUAUGCAAAGAGGAUAUCCUUACGGACUUCAGCUCUCUCCCCUGCAUCCCGCAUCCGCUCCUCCACUAAUUCCGACCCCUGGGUAAUUUUCACGUCUGCGACAAGCCUUUGCCUCACUCUUUCGGCCAAAAACCCAUUGACGGAAAUAUUCGGCUGAGAAUAACGUCUGUUAUCCCCAAGCUGGUAUAUAUGAUAGCUAUCAUAUUGCGAUACGGUGAUAGGUCCUAUCUGGAAGUGAAUCCACACGUUCUUGUGCAGCACUACAUGUAAUGCUUCCUCACGAAUCUGUCUAUUAAGCUGCAGAAUCUGAAGACAUAGCACUUUGUCCAGAGGCUUGUUUAGAUCAUCGGAGGCAUCCAUGCUUGGGUCCACUACGAGUAAGAACGAAUAAAUCUCGUAUCGCAAUUCGAUUGGUAA
RNAcentral lists this small RNA (772 nucleotides) under Histoplasma capsulatum var. duboisii H88. Its description in RNAcentral is "Histoplasma capsulatum H88 hypothetical RNA". Lineage: Eukaryota; Fungi; Ascomycota; Eurotiomycetes; Onygenales; Ajellomycetaceae. The record is from RNAcentral.